This 923-nucleotide long non-coding RNA is filed under the name Monodelphis domestica (gray short-tailed opossum). RNAcentral's name for it is "lncRNA (ENSMODG00000051087.1)". Lineage: Eukaryota; Metazoa; Chordata; Mammalia; Didelphimorphia; Didelphidae. The record is from RNAcentral.
CUCUUAGCUAGAUUGCCAUCCAUAGAGGAAUGAAUAAUGUUGAUUUUACUCCCACUCUUUUUUCAUGAUUGAAUAUGAAAUUUUCUACUAAAGAGACAUCAGAGCUUUUUGUGUUUUUUUUUUUCAACAGGAAAUUUAAAGAUAGAGGUUAAAAUUAAACAGCUGCAAGUCUGAAGAAAGCUGUUUAGGCAUGAACUUCAAAGUCCAGUGUUAGAAUUAAAGGAUAUAAUAGGCUAAUUUUAAGCAUUUUAAAAGACUACAAAUAAUCUUCCCAUGUGCGCGGUGUGGAAAGGAGAGCUUGUCACACAUAUGAGUGCAUUUGUUCUGAAACAGCUGCAAUAACCCACACACUAUUCCCCAACUGGGGCUUUAUCUUCUACUCCUAAAGAUAGGAAGAGAAAGAGAAUAAGAACAGAAUUUCAAUGAACAGCACUACAGACAAACUACUGCCUAGCCAUGGCACCUACAUCUUGUACUUGUGUCUUCAUUUUUAUCCAAGGUAACUAAGUCACCCAAAUAGCAAAUGUGAUCCAACUUUUGGAUUUUGAGCCUCAGUUUCUCUGCCUGCUUGACUCAUUGAGGUAGGAACAAGUGGAAGGCAGCCUGGUGAGAAUUCCACUCAAGCAUGAAGAUUCAGACUAGCCCUAAGUUCCAAAGCAAUUUUAUAAGACUUCAAAUCUACCAAUAGGACAACCUUUGUGCACUCCGUGGUAUUAUUAUAUGUCAGAAACUGUGGUAAGCCCUGUGAAAUACAAAGUUAAAAUAAGCUACAAUUCAUGUUUGAAAGCAGCUUAAGGGUGAUUAGGGACUAAGAACUCUGAAACAAGUAAAAGAGAGUUUGCACAAAAUGGGAAGUCACUAAGAGUACUUGAAGACAGUCAGGUAGGGAGUAGUCAUUUCCAACUGAAAGAACUGGGUCUGAG